This 394-nucleotide ribosomal RNA is filed under the name Toxocara tanuki. RNAcentral's name for it is "eukaryotic LSU rRNA". The stretch from base 1 to 83 matches the Rfam family "5.8S ribosomal RNA", at positions 72 to 154 of the family's 154-position model. The record is from RNAcentral. Lineage: Eukaryota; Metazoa; Nematoda; Chromadorea; Rhabditida; Toxocaridae.
UUGCAGACACAUUGAGCACUAAAAUUUCGAACGCACAUUGCGCCAUCGGGUUCAUUCCCGUUGGCACGUCUGGCUGAGGGUCAGAAUAUGGAAGUACGAUCUGCUUAUGUAUUACGGAAUGCUUAAUACAAGCUUCCAGUGGUGCAAUCGCUCACAAGAUGCAUUCGGCAGGCUAUGUUGGUAGUUGGCUAUAUAAUGAUUCCAGCAUACCCUGCCAAGUCUGUAUGCGACAAGUCGCUGUCCUUUGCUCAUGAAGAGGCGAAAAUGGCCAUUGCUGUGUUCCUUCACGAUAGGGCCUCCAGCAUACGUUGUUGUGUUUGUUGCUUGGUGACACAAAGGUUGGAAGGAACGUCGGCCGCUUGAAGGAGGAAUACGGAAUGGUUGACAUAAUUUU